AAAUUGAAGAGUUUGAUCAUGGCUCAGAUUGAACGCUGGCGGCAGGCCUAACACAUGCAAGUCGAGCGGUAGCACAGAGAGCUUGCUCUCGGGUGACGAGCGGCGGACGGGUGAGUAAUG
This 120-nucleotide ribosomal RNA is filed under the name Klebsiella aerogenes. Its description in RNAcentral is "partial 16S ribosomal RNA". It matches the Rfam family "Bacterial small subunit ribosomal RNA", at positions 1 to 115 of the family's 1533-position model. The record is from RNAcentral. Lineage: Bacteria; Pseudomonadati; Pseudomonadota; Gammaproteobacteria; Enterobacterales; Enterobacteriaceae. RNAcentral also lists the same sequence under 2 other names.